UGGAAUACUUGAAGACAAUGGGAGUUCUGCUUGAGCCUCGGCUGCAGGCUCAUUAUUUGCAACGAGCCUGUUAUUCCGCACACAGUUAAAUUGUUAGUUGAAAUCUGCACCCACUGUGUCUGUCAUAUUGGGCCGGAUUCUGGGCCCGGUGAAGUCAAUGGGAAAACUCUCGUUUCUUUCAAUGCAGCAUCAGGGUCAUUAUCCAAUUGCUGUAGCCAUGGAGGGCAGAAAAUCAUCUGCUUCGACCCAUUCCCAAAGGACAGACUGAAACCCACUGCACGUCUACUACCUUAGAAAGCAUCUUCUUUGCAGAACUACAGUUCUAUUCCAACGAAGCUAUUUCAUAUAUAAUGGGAGUUCACGAUCUUCCUGAGGAGCCCUGAGACAGAAUCAGAACCCUUGGGAUUUACCAAGUGCUGGCUAAACUAUUCCACUUGCUGAGGCAUGAGGGUGGCUGCUGUGGUUAAUUUAGGAAACACCAGUGGGUUGACUCCAUUAGAUCAGAAAGAAAAAUCUUCUAAAUUAAAUAAAAGGCCCCCUCACCAUGGGCGGCGGGUAUCGUAGGCAGGGGUAGGCUGUGCCUCCCCAAACAGCCUAGCACUGCCCUGCCCACGCUCCGCCCUCAGGCCAGGCCCUGUUCUGCAGUUCCCCAGUGCUCUGCCCUGGCGGGCCCAGGCUGCCUCCCGCAGGGACUCAGGGUGACGGGUGCUGGGGCCGUGCUGCUCGAAGCACCGGGGCUGGGGGCGCUGUGGCCGUGCAGCCCUGCCACCUGGAGCACCAGCACUGUGGGCUCCACCACCCAGCACACCGGGGCUGGCCAUGCCACCCGAAGCAUCGGGGCUGGCCAUGCCACCAGGCUGCCCAGAGCACAGAGCGCUGCUGCCUGGCACUCCGGGCCUGCCGGCCGUGGGACACAGUGCAGCUGGAUGAGGAGAGAGGAAAGGAGGAUGCCCAGCAGAAUGGUUGUAGACGGCUUUCAUGGAAGUUAAGAUGCUCUAGUCUUCUACAGCGCAACAGAUCAAGGGCCUCGGAGGCAGGCAGGCAGCCAUGCCACACGCAGGAGAAACAAAUAACUGGUGGGAAAGAGAAAAAGGG
Mauremys mutica (yellowpond turtle) is the source of this 1095-nucleotide long non-coding RNA. RefSeq lists it as uncharacterized. The transcript has 3 exons. NCBI's taxonomy places the organism in Eukaryota, Metazoa, Chordata, Testudines, Geoemydidae. The record is from RefSeq and is a predicted model, not a curated record.